AGCUUUACCAUGCCAGCAGACUUACCU
Molecule: non-coding RNA, 27 nt
Filed under: Rattus norvegicus (Norway rat)
Lineage: Eukaryota; Metazoa; Chordata; Mammalia; Rodentia; Muridae
Source: RNAcentral